AGACUCUGUGAUGGCAGCACUUUUGGAGAUUGCUGACUCCAAAUCAGUAUGAUUACUACAUGCUGACACUUAAGGAAGUUUGCAGUCUAAGAACCAUGAUCCUGCGGCACUGGAGCAUGACUAAAAGCAGCCAGAGAGGGAAUCUGGAGGAUAUCUUCCAAGAGGGAGUUCAGAAACAGAGUUCUCAAUCGAUAAAAUGUAGCCUGCACUCUGGUGGAACCUAGGAACCAAACACUGAUGACCAUGAAUUACAGCCACAUAGUAUGAAAGGAGUCCCAUGCCUUCCACUUAUCUUUCUUUUCUACGGCCUGCCUGUGCAUCUGUCUAUCUCUGCAUGUAUCAACAAGAACUGUAUAAUGUGGCAGCUAAGUCUGUACCUCACCUACCCAAAUCUUUGAAGCCACGAAGACAAGGGACAAGUCUCCAGCAUUCCUUGCCUUUUUCACCUGCAAUGCUGUUGACAGCACACUUCAGUACUCGAUAAAACCUUCACUUCUGUCUCCAGCACGUACUGAAAACCAAUACAUAUAUCAGCUUCCUCCAAUGUGCUCUGUCAUGCAAAACCUUAAUGAUGACCUCAUAGUCUCUUGUCUCAGGCAUUCGUUGAGUCCGACUCCAUUGUCACAUAGUUUAUUUAUUUGGAAAAGUUAUUCUGCUUUUAACAUUUAUUGAGGUCACUGUUAACGCUUUGCAUGACAGAACUGGGGAAUACACAGGCCCUGGUUAUAACUAAACUCAUAUUGCUUAUUUAAUUCAACAUGUCCUUAAACAUUCAAGCAGUUCAUAAGCUACAAUACACA
Molecule: long non-coding RNA, 800 nt
Organism: Mauremys mutica (yellowpond turtle)
Lineage: Eukaryota; Metazoa; Chordata; Testudines; Geoemydidae
Exons: 3
Source: RefSeq, a predicted model, not a curated record